CAAUGUGUGGCAUACGGCUCAGUAACACGUAGUCAACAUGCCCAGGGGACGUGGAUAACCUCGGGAAACUGAGGAUAAACCGCGAUAGGUCACUACUUCUGGAAUGGGUAAUGACCCAAACCUAUAUGGCCCCUGGAUUGGACUGCGGCCGAUCAGGCUGUUGGUGAGGUAAUGGCCCACCAAACCUGUAACCGGUACGGGCUCUGAGAGGAGGAGCCCGGAGAUGGGCACUGAGACAAGGGCCCAGGCCCUAUGGGGCGCAGCAGGCGCGAAACCUCUGCAAUAGGCGAAAGCUUGACAGGGUUACUCUGAGUGAUUUCCGUUAAGGAGAUCUUUUGGCACCUCUAAAAAUGGUGCAGAAUAAGGGGUGGGCAAGUCUGGUGUCAGCCGCCGCGGUAAUACCAGCACCCCGAGUGGUCGGGACGUUUAUUGGGCCUAAAGCAUCCGUAGCCGGUUCCACAAGUCUUCCGUUAAAUCCACCUGCUUAACAGAUGGGCUGCGGAAGAUACUAUGGAGCUAGGAGGCGGGAGAGGCAAGCGGUACUCGAUGGGUAGGGGUAAAAUCCGUUGAUCCAUUGAAGACCACCAGUGGCGAAGGCGGCUUGCCAGAACGCGCUCGACGGUGAGGGAUGAAAGCUGGGGGAGCAAACCGGAUUAGAUACCCGGGUAGUCCCAGCUGUAAACGAUGCAGACUCGGUGAUGAGUUGGCUUUAUGCCAACUCAGUGCCGCAGGGAAGCCGUUAAGUUUGCCGCCUGGGGAGUACGGUCGCAAGACUGAAACUUAAAGGAAUUGGCGGGGGAGCACCACAAGGGGUGAAGCCUGCGGUUCAAUUGGAUUCAACGCCGGG
This 847-nucleotide ribosomal RNA is filed under the name uncultured archaeon. RNAcentral's name for it is "bacterial SSU rRNA". It matches the Rfam family "Archaeal small subunit ribosomal RNA", at positions 72 to 922 of the family's 1478-position model. The record is from RNAcentral.